Molecule: unclassified non-coding RNA, 232 nt
Filed under: soil metagenome
Description: partial internal transcribed spacer 1
Source: RNAcentral
UUGAAUUUUAACGAAGAGUUUGGUUGUAGCUGGCCCAUUCAUUUGGGCAUGUGCACACCUUCCUCUUUCAUCCCACACACACCUGUGAGCCUGUGAGACAGAGAUGGGGAAUUUACUUGCUGCUUUUUGGAAUACAAAGGCAAUAGGUUAUUGGACCCCCCCUCUGUCUACUCAAUUAAUAUAAACUCAAUUUAUUUUAAAACGAAUGUAAUGGAUGUAACACAUCUCAUAC